AGCCAAGAGAAUGAUGCAUUGUAUCCAAUUUCUAGAGAAGCAACUUCUCAACAAUGCAGCUUUUAAUCUACAUGAAUGUUCUAUCCAACCACCCCAAGCAGAAACAUGAAAGAGACAUCAACUCCUCAGUCUCCAGCUCUGUGAGGUUAAACCUCAGCACAGCUUUAAGAUCACGCUUGGCAAAGAUCAGAAACCAGCCUAAGAAUGAG
RNAcentral lists this long non-coding RNA (209 nucleotides) under Elaeis guineensis (African oil palm). RNAcentral's name for it is "long non-coding RNA (EGUI_LNC000660)". The record is from RNAcentral. Lineage: Eukaryota; Viridiplantae; Streptophyta; Magnoliopsida; Arecales; Arecaceae.